Molecule: ribosomal RNA, 253 nt
Filed under: uncultured bacterium
Lineage: Bacteria
Description: partial 16S ribosomal RNA
Rfam family: Bacterial small subunit ribosomal RNA
Source: RNAcentral
UACGGAGGGAGCUAGCGUUGUUCGGAAUUACUGGGCGUAAAGCGUGCGUAGGCGGUUAUUCAAGUCAGAGGUGAAAGCCCGGGGCUCAACCCCGGAACGGCCUUUGAAACUAGGUAACUAGAAUCUUGGAGAGGUUAGUGGAAUUCCGAGUGUAGAGGUGAAAUUCGUAGAUAUUCGGAAGAACACCAGUGGCGAAGGCGACUUCCUGGCCUGUUCUUGACGCUGAGGCGCGAAAGCUAGGGUAGCAAACGGG